GACGAACGCUGGCGGCGUGCUUAACACAUGCAAGUCGAACGGAAAGGCCCUGCUUUUGUGGGGUGCUCGAGUGGCGAACGGGUGAGUAACACGUGAGUAACCUGCCCUGGACUUUGGGAUAACUUCAGGAAACUGGGGCUAAUACCGGAUAGGAGCUCCUGCUGCAUGGUGGGGGUUGGAAAGUUUCGGCGGUUGGGGAUGGACUCGCGGCUUAUCAGCUUGUUGGUGGGGUAGUGGCUUACCAAGGCUUUGACGGGUAGCCGGCCUGAGAGGGUGACCGGCCACAUUGGGACUGAGAUACGGCCCAGACUCCUACUGGAGGCAGCAGUGGGGAAUAUUGCACAAUGGGCGGAAGCCUGAUGCAGCAACGCCGCGUGCGGGAUGACGGCCUUCGGGUUGUAAACCGCUUUCGCCUGUGACGAAGCGUGAGUGACGGUAAUGGGUAAAGAAGCACCGGCUAACUACGUG
RNAcentral lists this ribosomal RNA (468 nucleotides) under uncultured bacterium. RNAcentral describes it as "partial 16S ribosomal RNA". It matches the Rfam family "Bacterial small subunit ribosomal RNA", at positions 28 to 507 of the family's 1533-position model. The record is from RNAcentral.